Molecule: long non-coding RNA, 1046 nt
Filed under: Homo sapiens (human)
Lineage: Eukaryota; Metazoa; Chordata; Mammalia; Primates; Hominidae
Description: novel transcript
Source: RNAcentral
ACAACUCCUGCACUCAUGGCUCAUGAACCCGUGGCUCCUGCACUCACAGCCUGCUUUUCACUCUCCCCUACACUGGCCCUGGCCACGGGAUUUUGUCACCACCAAAGGUUACAUCUGGAAACCCCGUUGGGAGCUUCUUUCAACUUGUGACCACUGCCUGAACUUUUUGGCUGUCCUUCACGAGGCCUUCUGAGCAACAGACUCCUUAUUGCUGCUGCCAUGGGAAGAAGGAUGUGUUCGCUUCUCCACUACUGUGGUUGUAAAUUUUCUGAAACCUCCACAGCCAUGCUGAACUGGAUCAUUGAAGUAGCAGUGGCAACGAUGUUAUGAAAGUUCCAUGGACGUCAGAGAUCCAGGAUCUUCUUGUUUCCUCACCACCAUCAUCAACUUCUCUGUCUUUUUUGCAUCCCACUGCUUGUAUUCAAUUUGAAAACGAGGGAUGUUGAAAUCUUCACCUAUAAAGGCUGUAUCUACAUCGCUUUCAGCUGUAACCCACUGUUAUAGUAGAUACUCAAUGGCAUGAUAGUAAGGUGUGAGGAAGAAAAAAAGUUCUACAAUGGCUUGCAUUCUUGGAAGGUAAAGGGAUAAGAAGCUGUGAAGGUUACGUAAUGGAGAUGAAAGGCAAGCUACAGGAAGUGAAAUUGGCAAUUCUUCUUGGUCCCUGUUUGGGAAAAUGUGAAUCUCAUCCUCUCAGUUUCUAGUUUGACAGACUAUAAGAAGGGACAUACCUAACAAAGAAUACAUCUUGCAGAUUGCUACAUAAAGAGAGGAAGUGAAUCGCUACCACUCAAUCCUGACAUUAAUUCAACAGACACAUAUUUUGAUUUCUGAAGAAUUAUGGAAACAUUCUUUCAGAAGAGAACAAUGAAAGAUAGCAUUCUGUGUUUAGCACAUUUCCCCUUUCCAAGUGGCAGUGGAGCGUUGUAACAGCAAAGUAAAUUGCUUCUUAUUUCUAUGUGCUUUUUAAAACUGUGACACUGACUGAGCUGAACCACCAAGACCACAUCUGUACACAGCUAAAUAAAAGGUUUUACAUGAUGGCAAAA